UCUUAAUAAUUCAUGUUUAAAAUAUAUAUAUAUAUUGUCCUUUUAGUGUUGCUUUAAUUUAAAAGUAUUCACGGCCUAUAACUCAUGCAUCUGCAUCUGUGUUGUAAGUCCCAUUUGAUUUGGGUAUACAGCACCAGCACAGUACCUUGGAACAAAUCAGCAGCAUUUUGGUCAUGUAAAGAUGCACUUGACACUUUGUGACUCAGCUUAUUUAUUUUUUUAAAAAGUAGAUGAUAAGGUAUGCUAAUAUUUUUUUUUUUUCUCCUACUGAGAACAUUAUUUCUAUUGCUAACAGUAAUUGUACUAGAUAAGUGUUUAAAUAUAUCACCUCUUGCUAGAAGUUCACGAUUAAUAUAUGUUAAUUUGCUACGGUUUUUACAGCACUUCAAAAGGUCACGUAUCGCGAGUCAGUCAGUCCCUGUUUAUCAUAUUCUGCAACUUAUACACUGUAGAAGAUACAAAGACAAGUUAAAUCACAGAUGGAAUAAAAUUAUAAGGCUUCAGUUGACUCCCACGGAAAAGAUGAGGAAGAAGUCCUUCUGCCUGGAGUCAUAUUUAAUUCAACCUAAAACCCAUAGUGUAAAUUGAUAUCAAGGCUAUGAAGCAAGACUGCGUAUUACUUUAUUAUCUAAAUAGUCUGUGAAAUUUUAUUUUCUUCUGCGAUGUAAAUGUGGGUAACUAUAAGUGGUCCUUUAGGAUUCUAGGCCAAUCCUAUGUUAAGUUUUAGAUGUAUAAUUCAAAGACAUGGACUUGCUUUGAAAGUUCAAAAAAUGGCUCUAUCUAUUCCAUAUCAUAUUCAUAUAUCAUUCCAUUAUCAUAUCUUCCAUACAUAUCAAAUGUAUGGAAGGAGCAUUGUGAAAUUUUUACAAGCGAUUGUUGGGACAACUCUGUAAAAAGGUGAUCGGAUAUAAAAGAUAUACAGUAAAAAUUUAUGUCAAUGUCGUAUACUUCCUAACAGUCUUUUGAAGGCCUUUUGAAUUAAUUAAUAUCUUCUCAUCUCUGAAAAUGGUUCGUACAUGCUU
RNAcentral lists this long non-coding RNA (1022 nucleotides) under Cairina moschata (Muscovy duck). Its description in RNAcentral is "domestica (muscovy Duck (domestic type)) lncRNA (ENSCMMG00000000442.1)". The record is from RNAcentral. Lineage: Eukaryota; Metazoa; Chordata; Aves; Anseriformes; Anatidae.